RNAcentral lists this ribosomal RNA (154 nucleotides) under Coniochaeta ligniaria NRRL 30616. RNAcentral's name for it is "5.8S ribosomal RNA". It matches the Rfam family "5.8S ribosomal RNA". From Rfam's summary of the family: 5.8S ribosomal RNA (5.8S rRNA) is a component of the large subunit of the eukaryotic ribosome. It is transcribed by RNA polymerase I as part of the 45S precursor that also contains 18S and 28S rRNA. The record is from Rfam by way of RNAcentral. Lineage: Eukaryota; Fungi; Ascomycota; Sordariomycetes; Coniochaetales; Coniochaetaceae.
AACUUUUAAUAAUAAAUCUCUUAGUUUUAGUAUUAAUAAAGAAUAUAACGAAAUACAAUAAGUAAUAUAAAUUAUAGAAUUUAGUAAAUUAUUAAAUCUUUAAACGUAUAUUAUAUUUAGUAGUACUCUAUUAGGUAUAUUUGUUCGAGUAUUA